CUUACCUCAGUUACUAGGCUGCUCUGGAAGCAUGGGGAGCAGGCAUUUAGGACCUUGUGGCACACAUUUUGUGUACAACAGCCUUACUCCAAGUUUCUCCUUAUUUCCCAUUUGAUCUAUUUUCUAUCUUCCUUAUUAAUAUUUGUGGCAGAUUAUAUUUUCUAAAAUUGACAACAAUAUUUCUUGUCCCACAGGCACCUUCAAAACCUUGCUACUCUCUUCUCCUUGAACUAAGCUAUCAAACUUGGACACAAUACAGGGCAUGGCUAUUUGAAGACUCUGAGAAGUAAGAGUAGCAGGCAGAUUCAAGAAGAGUAAAAUGUAAAAUAUCACUGAACUGAGGCUUCUAACUGUCCAUCUUUCUUGGGAUGUGAGCCUUUGGUGCUAUGAGCUCCCAGGUGAGAACCUUCCUAGUCUGAAGCCACCCUGCUGGAGAAACCACCUGUAGAGGCCACUUACACAGAGAUACCACUUAGAGAGGCCACUUAGGGAGAGGCU
RNAcentral lists this long non-coding RNA (498 nucleotides) under Papio anubis (olive baboon). RNAcentral describes it as "lncRNA (ENSPANG00000037615.1)". Lineage: Eukaryota; Metazoa; Chordata; Mammalia; Primates; Cercopithecidae. The record is from RNAcentral.